UACGGAGGGGGCUAGCGUUGUUCGGAAUUACUGGGCGUAAAGCGCGCGUAGGCGGCUUUGCAAGUUAGAGGUGAAAGCCCGGGGCUCAACUCCGGAAUUGCCUUUAAAACUGCAUCGCUAGAAUUGUGGAGAGGUAAGUGGAAUUCCGAGUGUAGAGGUGAAAUUCGUAGAUAUUCGGAAGGACACCAGUGGCGAAGGCGACUUACUGGACACAUAUUGACGCUGAGGUGCGAAAGCGUGGGGAGCAAACAGG
This 253-nucleotide ribosomal RNA is filed under the name uncultured bacterium. RNAcentral describes it as "partial 16S ribosomal RNA". It matches the Rfam family "Bacterial small subunit ribosomal RNA", at positions 524 to 776 of the family's 1533-position model. The record is from RNAcentral.